Molecule: RNA transcript, 4189 nt
Organism: Oncorhynchus nerka (sockeye salmon)
Lineage: Eukaryota; Metazoa; Chordata; Actinopteri; Salmoniformes; Salmonidae
Exons: 2
Source: RefSeq, a predicted model, not a curated record
UAAUUACAACAAGUCAAUGAUUACAAAAAUGACGAUAACUCUAGAAAGGCUGCCACUCGUUUUUGGUUUUGUACUGGGCCUACUUUGUCAAAUAGCUACAGGGAAUCCAUAUCAUGUAAACAAAGACAACACCUUUCCGCUGUUUGUUCAUGACAAUAUUGAAUGGCUUUAAUGGCACAGGAUCACAUGAAUAGCCUCUUGAGCAAGCAGCUGGCUAACCAUGAUGGGUACACACUCAUGUAUACAAUCUGCUGAGGCCUUGAUCUGAAUAGUCUGGAGUACACCACCCCUUCUCCCCUGCAGGUCUGGAGUACACCACCCCUUCUCCCCUGCAGGUCUGGAGUACACCACCCCUUCUCCCCUGCAGGUCUGGAGUACACCACCCCUUCUCCCCUGCAGGUCUGGAGUACACCACCCCUUCUCCCCUGCAGGUCUGGAGUACACCACCCCUUCUCCCCUGCAGGUCUGGAGUACACCACCCCUUCUCCCCUGCAGGUCUGGAGUACACCACCCCUUCUCCCCUGCAGGUCUGGAGUACACCACCCCUUCUCCCCUGCAGGUCUGGAGUACACCACCCCUUCUCCCCUGCAGGUCUGGAGUACACCACCCCUUCUCCCCUGCAGGUCUGGAGUACACCACCCCUUCUCCCCUGCAGGUCUGGAGUACACCACCCCUUCUCCCCUGCAGGUCUGGAAGGUGCAGUAGCUCUGGUCUACAGGGUGCUGGUCUGUUCCUGUGAGGUGCAGUAGCUCUGGUCUACAGGGUGCUGGUCUGUUUCUGUGAGGUGCAGUAGCUCUGGUCUACAGGGUGCUGGUCUGUUUCUGUGAGGUGCAGUAAGCUCUGGUCUACAGGGUGCUGGUCUGUUUCUGUGGGGUGCAGUAGCUCUGGUCUACAGGGGGCUGGUCUGUUUCUGUGAGGUGCAGUAGCUCUGGUCUACAGGGUGCUGGUCUGUUUCUGUGAGGUGCAGUAGCUCUGGUCUACAGGGUGCUGGUCUGUUUCUGUGAGGUGCAGUAGCUCUGGUCUACAGGGUGCUGGUCUGUUUCUGUGAGGUGCAGUAGCUCUGGUCUACAGGGUGCUGGUCUGUUUCUGUGAGGUGCAGUAACUCUGGUCUACAGGGUGCUGGUCUGUUUCUGUGAGGUGCAGUAGCUCUGGUCUACAGGGUGCUGUUUCUGUGGGGUGCAGUAGCUCUGGUCUACAGGGGGCUGGUCUGUUUCUGUGAGGUGCAGUAGCUCUGGUCUACAGGGUGCUGGUCUGUUUCUGUGAGGUACAGUAGCUCUGGGCCCGUAACCAUAAAGCAUCUCAGAGUCAUAGUGAUGAUCUAGGGUCAGUUAUGCCUUCUAAAUCAUAAUGAAUUAGAGGGUGGACCUGAUCCUAGAUCAGCACUCCUACAGUACUCUGAGACACUUUGUGAAUACAGACACAGGUUGCCGGUCUGUUUCAAUGAGCUUAUUAUGGGUUAUAUUGGUUACCCAUAAAGUUAGAAAGCAUUGAAAAUGUGUGCCAACCUAAAGCUCUGUAUUCACAAUGGAAAAGACCUGAAUCACCUCCUUCCUACCACAGAGGAUAUGUGUGGAUUGUAUCAACAUCAAUCUCUCUGAAGAAUCUUUCACUUCAUGUGUUAUAUUACCAGCAUCCCUCUGACCACCACUCUGUUCUCCUCCUCUCAGAUCUUCUGGGGUCUGGGCGGUGCCACCCCGGGGAAGAUCCUCCUGGGUCUUCAAGUCGUGACAUGUGACAGCUCAGUCCUGGUCCGACCCAACCGGGUCCUGGUGUUACCAGGAUCUAACGUCACCCUAUCUGCGUCAGUCGCUGACUACAUGUGACACAUCUUGGUUAGCGUUGAAAACAGAUAUGAAUAUGUUUGUUUGGCCUACAGUCAUCUACCACUGGUACUACUACUACGUUUCCAUAUGGACAGGUGUGACCAUGAAUGCCUGGAGCCUGAGUGUUGUAAAUGAAAGGCACACUGGAGCCUGAGUGUUGUAAAUGAAAGGCACACUGGAGCCUGAGUGUUGUAAAUGAAAGGCACACUGGAGCCUGAGUGUUGUAAAUGAAAGGCACACUGGAGCCUGAGUGUUGUAAAUGAAAGGCACACUGGAGCCUGAGUGUUGUAAAUGAAAGGCACACUGGAGCCUGAGUGUUGUAAAUGAAAGGCACACUGGAGCCUGAGUGUUGUAAAUGAAAGGCACACUGGAGCCUGAGUGUUGUAAAUGAAAGGCACACUGGAGCCUGAGUGUUGUAAAUGAAAGGCACACUGGAGCCUGAGUGUUGUAAAUGAAAGGCACACUGGAGCCUGAGUGUUGUAAAUGAAAGGCACACUGGAGCCUGAGUGUUGUAAAUGAAAGGCACACUGGAGCCUGAGUGUUGUAAAUGAAAGGCACACUGGAGCCUGAGUGUUGUAAAUGAAAGGCACACUGGAGCCUGAGUGUUGUAAAUGAAAGGCACACUGGAGCCUGAGUGUUGUAAAUGAAAGGCACACUGGAGCCUGAGUGUUGUAAAUGAAAGGCACACUGGAGCCUGAGUGUUGUAAAUGAAAGGCACACUGGAGCCUGGGUGAUGUAAAUGAAAGGCACACUGGAGCCUGGGUGAUGUAAAUGAGUAUUGUGAGUUUAUAAGGUACAACAUAAAGGUGAAGCCAAUCUCCUGAGAUGGAGAAAGUUGUCUUUGAAAGUGGGUUUUAAUGCCGAUCUACAUUUGAGUCAUUUAGCAGACUUCUUAUCCUGAGCGAUUCACAAUAGUAAGUACAUACAUUUUUUUGUUACUUUUUCAUACUAGUCCCCUGUUGCACGUGCCAUGCUCUACCAACUGAGUCAGUUUGACAAAUAACCCUUGUUUUGGUAGCAGUUCAUUUUCUGGUAUUGUUUCCACUGAUAUUAACCUGGUAUUACAUGUUUUAGUUUGCUAUGUAAUUAGUAUUAUUUAUUAUCAUGUCUUGUAAAAGUAACAUCCAACCCAUUCUCUCCCCUCCCAGCUCCACGGUGCGGUCGUCAUCCAACCCAUUCUCUCCCCUCCCAGCUCCACGGUGCGGUCGUCAUCCAACCCAUUCUCUCCCCUCCCAGCUCCACGGUGCGGUCGUCAUCCAACCCAUUCUCUCCCCUCCCAGCUCCACGGUGCGGUCGUCAUCCAACCCAUUCUCUCCCCUCCCAGCUCCACGGUGCGGUCGUCAUCCAACCCAUUCUCUCCCCUCCCAGCUCCACGGUGCGGUCAUCAUCCAACCCAUUCUCUCCCCUCCCAGCUCCACGGUGCGGUCGUCAUCCAACCCAUUCUCUCCCCUCCCAGCUCCACGGUGCGGUCGUCAUCCAACCCAUUCUCUCCCCUCCCAGCUCCACGGUGCGGUCAUCAUCCAACCCAUUCUCUCCCCUCCCAGCUCCACGGUGCGGUCGUCAUCCAACCCAUUCUCUCCCCUCCCAGCUCCACGGUGCGGUCGUCAUCCAACCCAUUCUCUCCCCUCCCUGCUCCACGGUGCGGUCGUCAUCCAACCCAUUCUCUCCCCUCCCAGCUCCACGGUGCGGGUUGUUGAAUAAGAACUUCUCCAUCGCCUUCCUGUUCUCCAUCUUCACCACCUUCUUCUUCUUUCAACACAGCAGGACUGUCUAUGAUAUCGUAGCUGGAACCAUCGUGGUGCAGCACAGAGGGGUUAGAUGACUGAUACCCUUUACAUCAAUGUCGUGUCGAGUAGGGCACACCAACACUUUGCAACGGAAAAUGAAAACGUGUUCUGUUUCACUAACUUUGGAAGAAAAGAAAAAUCUCUCUAUUGAACAAAACCCAAACCGUGGGCUUCUGGAACUGAACAGAACGCCUGUAGAACAGAUCUAGGCCUACAGACCUGAGAGAGGGAGAUCUGCCCAUGGAUACAUACGACUCAGACUGAAUUCCACUCAGGACAGGAGGAGCCUGAUACAAUGUGAUGUAGAAGUAUUAUGGGGAAGCCUCAGAACAGAACAUGGCUGUGUUUUGUCUUCUUCAUUCACAGAGUAUUGUUCCUGAACUUUUUCCUAUUUACUGCUUAGCCAGACAAGCAGAAUGAAUCUGAAAGGAAUGUUAGGUAAUUUAUUAGUUUAUUUAUUGUUCGUUUACAGCUAUAUGGAUAAGGGAUGUUUCAGGUCAGGUUGAAAGGUGAAAUGUGACGGGCUUGUUUGCAUAUUGGCCAUUUUGCAUAUUCUAAAUGAAACUGAACUGAAAACUA